UGGGGCGUCGCCAAGCGGUAAGGCACCGGCUUUUGGCGCCGGCAUUCGUAGGUUCGAAUCCUACCGCCCCAGCCA
RNAcentral lists this transfer RNA (75 nucleotides) under Acidobacteriota bacterium. RNAcentral describes it as "tRNA-Gln". It matches the Rfam family "tRNA". From Rfam's summary of the family: Transfer RNA (tRNA) molecules are approximately 80 nucleotides in length. The record is from RNAcentral. Lineage: Bacteria; Pseudomonadati; Acidobacteriota.